GGGGGGGGGGGGGGGGGGGGGGGGGGGGGGGGGGGGGGGGGGGGGGGGGGGGGGGGGGGCGGCGGGGGUGGGGGGGGGCGGACGGGGGGGUGGUGGGUGGGGGGCUGCGGGAGGGGGGGGGGUGCCUCCGGGGAACGGUGGCGGGUCCCGCAUCGUGUCGCGGGGCGAGCGAGGGGGACCUUCGGGCCUCUUGCCAUCGGAGGUGCCCAGGUGGGAGUCGCUUGUUGGUGGGGUAACGGCGCACCCAGGCGAGGAGCCCUAGCUGGGCUGCGAGGAUGACCAGCCACACUGGAACUGAGACACGGUCCAGACUCCUACGGGAGGCAGCAGUGGGGAAUAUUGCACAAUGGGCGCAAGCCUGAUGCAGCCAUGCCGCGUGGAUGAAGAAGGCCUUCGGGUUGUAAAGUACUUUCAGCGGGGAGGAAGGGAGUAAAGUGAAUACCUUUGCUCAUUGACGUUACCCGCAGAAGAAGCACCGGCUAACUCCGUG
This 490-nucleotide ribosomal RNA is filed under the name uncultured bacterium. RNAcentral describes it as "partial 16S ribosomal RNA". The stretch from base 104 to 490 matches the Rfam family "Bacterial small subunit ribosomal RNA", at positions 39 to 507 of the family's 1533-position model. The record is from RNAcentral.